AGUCGAACGGAGAAUGCAAGACAGAAGCCUUCGGGCGGAAGACCUGUAUUCUUAGUGGCGGACGGGUGAGUAACACGUGAGCAACCUACCUUCAAGAGGGGGAUAGCACCUGGAAACGGGUGGUAAUACCGCAUAAGACCACGGAGCCGCAUGGCUUUGGGGUCAAAGGAGCAAUCCGCUUGAAGAUGGGCUCGCGUCCGAUUAGAUAGUUGGUGAGGUAACGGCUCACCAAGUCGACGAUCGGUAGCCGGACUGAGAGGUUGAACGGCCACAUUGGGACUGAGACACGGCCCAGACUCCUACGGGAGGCAGCAGUGGGGGAUAUUGCACAAUGGGCGAAAGCCUGAUGCAGCGACGCCGCGUGGGGGAAGACGGCCUUCGGGUUGUAAACCUCUGUCAUUCGGGACGAAUCAGAUGACGGUACCGAAGAAGGAAGCUCCGGCUAACUACGUGCCAGCAGCCGCGGUAAUACGUAGGGAGCGAGCGUUGUCCGGAAUUACUGGGUGUAAAGGGAGCGUAGGCGGGAAAGCAAGUUGGAAGUGAAAUACAUGGGCUCAACCCAUGAGCUGCUUUCAAAACUGUUUUUCUUGAGUGAAGUAGAGGCAGGCGGAAUUCCUAGUGUAGCGGUGAAAUGCGUAGAUAUUAGGAGGAACACCAGUGGCGAAGGCGGCCUGCUGGGCUUUAACUGACGCUGAGGCUCGAGAGCGUGGGUAGCAAACAGGAUUAGGUACCCUGGUAGUCCACGCUGUAAACGAUGAUUACUAGGUGUGGGGGAUUUCGGUCCUCCGUGCCGGAGCAAACGCAAUAAGUAAUCCACCUGGGGAGUACGGCCGCAAGGCUGAAACUCAAAGGAAUUGACGGGGGCCCGCACAAGCAGUGGA
Molecule: ribosomal RNA, 881 nt
Filed under: uncultured bacterium
Lineage: Bacteria
Description: bacterial SSU rRNA
Rfam family: Bacterial small subunit ribosomal RNA
Source: RNAcentral